Molecule: ribosomal RNA, 253 nt
Filed under: uncultured bacterium
Lineage: Bacteria
Description: partial 16S ribosomal RNA
Rfam family: Bacterial small subunit ribosomal RNA
Source: RNAcentral
GACGUAGGGGGCAAGCGUUGUCCGGAUUUAUUGGGCGUAAAGAGCGUGUAGGCGGCUUGUUAAGUCUUGCGUGAAAUCUCGGGGCUCAACCCCGAGCGGUCGUGAGAAACUGGCAGGCUAGAGUGCGGGAGAGGAGAGUGGAAUUCCUGGUGUAGCGGUGAAAUGCGCAGAUAUCAGGAAGAACACCCGUGGCGAAGGCGGCUCUCUGGAACGCAACUGACGCUGAGACGCGAAAGCGUGGGGAGCAAACAGG